RNAcentral lists this transfer RNA (87 nucleotides) under Desulfobacca sp. RBG_16_58_9. RNAcentral's name for it is "tRNA-Leu". It matches the Rfam family "tRNA". Rfam says of the family: Transfer RNA (tRNA) molecules are approximately 80 nucleotides in length. Their secondary structure includes four short double-helical elements and three loops (D, anti-codon, and T loops). Further hydrogen bonds mediate the characteristic L-shaped molecular structure. tRNAs have two regions of fundamental functional importance: the anti-codon, which is responsible for specific mRNA codon recognition, and the 3' end, to which the tRNAs corresponding amino acid is attached (by aminoacyl-tRNA synthetases). tRNAs cope with the degeneracy of the genetic code in two manners: having more than one tRNA (with a specific anti-codon) for a particular amino acid; and 'wobble' base-pairing, i.e. permitting non-standard base-pairing at the 3rd anti-codon position. The record is from RNAcentral. Lineage: Bacteria; Pseudomonadati; Thermodesulfobacteriota; Desulfobaccia; Desulfobaccales; Desulfobaccaceae. RNAcentral also lists the same sequence under 1 other name.
GCCGGAGUGGUGGAAUUGGUAGACGCAGGGGACUCAAAAUCCCCCGGGCGACAGCCUGUGCCGGUUCGAGUCCGGCCUCCGGCACCA